AUACUUACCUGGCAGGGGAGAUACCAUGAUCACGAAGGUGGUUUUCCAGGGUGAGGCUCCUCCAUUGCACUCUGGAUGUGCUGACCUCUACGAUUUCCCCAAAUGUGGGAAGCUCAACUGCAUACUUUGUGGUAGUGGGGGACUGCAUUUUCGUGCUCCUCUG
Small nuclear RNA from Heterocephalus glaber (naked mole-rat), 163 nucleotides. Its record names the gene U1. It matches the Rfam family "U1 spliceosomal RNA". From Rfam's summary of the family: U1 is a small nuclear RNA (snRNA) component of the spliceosome (involved in pre-mRNA splicing). NCBI's taxonomy places the organism in Eukaryota, Metazoa, Chordata, Mammalia, Rodentia, Bathyergidae. The record is from Ensembl.